GCGGGGCAAGGUGGCAUGUGCAUGGUGUGUGCCUGUAGUCCCAGCAUCUAAGGAGGCCGAGGUGGGAGGAUCGCUCGAGCCCAGGAGUUCUGGGCUGUAGUAUGCCGAUCAGCUGUCCACACUAAGUUCGGCAUCAAUAUGGUGACCUCCCAGGAGCGUGGGACCACCACCAGGUUGCCUAAGGAGGGGUGAACUGGCCCAGGUUGGAAACGGAGCAGGUCAAAACUCCAGUGCUGAUCAGUAGUGGGAUAACCACUGCCCUCCAGCCCAGGCAAUAUUGCAAGACCCGUCUCU
This 294-nucleotide signal recognition particle RNA is filed under the name Saimiri boliviensis boliviensis (Bolivian squirrel monkey). Its description in RNAcentral is "Metazoan signal recognition particle RNA (ENSSBOG00000010574.1)". It matches the Rfam family "Metazoan signal recognition particle RNA". Rfam says of the family: The signal recognition particle (SRP) is a universally conserved ribonucleoprotein. It is involved in the co-translational targeting of proteins to membranes. The eukaryotic SRP consists of a 300-nucleotide 7S RNA and six proteins: SRPs 72, 68, 54, 19, 14, and 9. The record is from RNAcentral. Lineage: Eukaryota; Metazoa; Chordata; Mammalia; Primates; Cebidae.